RNAcentral lists this long non-coding RNA (1630 nucleotides) under Homo sapiens (human). RNAcentral's name for it is "HSALNT0289855". Lineage: Eukaryota; Metazoa; Chordata; Mammalia; Primates; Hominidae. The record is from RNAcentral.
GUUAAUGUACCAGGCAGUGACCUUGAUAAUGAUCUGGAAUUGCAGGAUUAAUGGGGGGUGGCAAGGCCUCCUGGGAAGGCACCGGCUUGGCCUCGGGAGUCCUUGGUCUACGGCCCUGGCUGACCUUGUUUGUAGGUGACCUGGGGUGGACGUGGUGUCCCGGAAACCCCGCUUCCUUGCCUGGGGAGAGCAGAACCUCCUGGGCCAGGCAGAGUCUCCUGGAAUCCUGGGGAAAUGCUGGGUAAGAACAGGAGGAGCUUGGAGCAUCUCAUGGAAACAAGUGCCACCUCCCUCCAGAAUGCCGCACUUGCUCCUGUUCCUCGGAGAAAGAAGGAGUUGCUGCAAGCACAUAGGAUGGGAUUUGCCGCGUCUUCCUGAGCUCGGCCUCCCGGGGAAGCGUGCGGCAGGCGGGCGAGCCGACCCCGCUUUCCUUUCUGGCGAGCCUUUACAGCAGAAUGGAGCAGCCGCGGAUACACACCCGCUCCCACCCACACACUCACGCCGGGCCCAGGCCGCCAGGCGUGGAUGCACGCGCACGCACACGCAUGCACACGUGCACACGCAUGGACACGCUCGUGCUGCAAGGCCAUGGGCCACCGUGUGCUGUUCCGUGCACAUUUAUUCUCCUCUGAGGACCCAGGCCGGCUUGUCCGUGAAGUGCCAACAUUAGGGGCUGUGCAGGGCAGGGUGAGCGAGCACUGACCACCAGCGCCGGCCCCCACUGCUGCGGCCAGUGGGCUGGACGACCAAGGACGAGGCCGGGGCCUUGAGACAAAAGUCCCAGCAAUGAGGCAGGGACCUCACAGCAGAGGGAGCUGGACCCAACCUGUUUUCAAGACACGAAUCUGCUGCAGCCCCCGACGGGCCCCAAGAGACUCUGCCUUGAGUCUUUUCUUAGGAGUCCACCCACGGCCGCAUCUCCAGCUAGAUCAAGCCCACGGCUUUUCACACUGCUGGACCAGACACCACGAGAGAUGUUCGGUCAACACUGUGCAUAUCUCAACUUUCAGGUGGACACUGCUGCCCGGAAAUGACUUUCACUUAUUUUCAAUCGGUCUACUUAGAAAAAGAAAAUCGGCAUUGGCUACGCUGUGACCAAGACAGCUUAGGGAAGAAGGGCAGGGUGGCUGCUGACCGCAGGCUCUCAACAGACCUGUGUACAAUGGGUGGGCAAGCAAGUGUCCAUGAGUGCAGAGACAGACAAGCAGAUGUCUAAUGAAGGAGGAGACAACCAGCAUCGAACAAAUGACCAAGAAAUAGAUGCCUAGUGGGUGAAUUGAUCAGCAAAUGUAUACACGUGUGCAUAAACAAAUCAAUAUCUAAUAUCUAAACUAAUAAAUGUAUGAACAAAUACAUGCCUAAUGAGUGAAUAGACAAAUAUCUCAUGAAUGCGUGGACAAAUCGAUAUCUAAUGAAUGGACAAACAAAUGCAUAUCUAUGAAUGGAUGAACAAAUACAUAUCGAAUAAAUAAAUGAAUAAAUACCUAAUAGAUAUAUGAACAGAUAUAUCUCUAAUGAGUGAAUAAACAAAUAUCUCAUGAAUACGUGGACAAAGCGAUAUCUAACGAAUGAAUGAACAAAUGCAUAUCUAUGAAUGGAUAAAGAAAUAAACAUCUCAUAAGUGAAUGAA